GCCAGGUGUGAUGGUACACGCCUGUAAUCCCAACGGCUCGGGAGGCAGAGGCUGGAGGAUCAAAGCCAAGCCUCAGCAAAAGUGAGGCACUAAGUGACUCAGUGAGACCCUGUCUCUA
RNAcentral lists this small RNA (118 nucleotides) under Marmota monax (woodchuck). The record is from RNAcentral. Lineage: Eukaryota; Metazoa; Chordata; Mammalia; Rodentia; Sciuridae.